GAACGACUCUCGGCAACGGAUAUCUCGGCUCUCGCAUCGAUGAAGAACGUAGCGAAAUGCGAUACUUGGUGUGAAUUGCAGAAUCCCGUGAACCAUCGAGUCUUUGAACGCAAGUUGCGCCCGACGCCUUCCGGCCGAGGGCAUGUCUGCCUGGGCGUCACGC
RNAcentral lists this ribosomal RNA (163 nucleotides) under Muraltia capensis. RNAcentral's name for it is "5.8S ribosomal RNA". It matches the Rfam family "5.8S ribosomal RNA". Rfam says of the family: 5.8S ribosomal RNA (5.8S rRNA) is a component of the large subunit of the eukaryotic ribosome. It is transcribed by RNA polymerase I as part of the 45S precursor that also contains 18S and 28S rRNA. The record is from RNAcentral. Lineage: Eukaryota; Viridiplantae; Streptophyta; Magnoliopsida; Fabales; Polygalaceae.